Molecule: ribosomal RNA, 301 nt
Filed under: uncultured bacterium
Lineage: Bacteria
Description: partial 16S ribosomal RNA
Rfam family: Bacterial small subunit ribosomal RNA
Source: RNAcentral
CAGUAGCCACGGGAAUACGGAGGAUCCAAGCGUUAUCCGGAAUCAUUGGGUUUAAAGGGUCCGUAGGCGGUCUUGUAAGUCAGUGGUGAAAGCCCAUCGCUCAACGGUGGAACGGCCAUUGAUACUGCAGGACUUGAAUUAUUGGGAAGUAACUAGAAUAUGUAGUGUAGCGGUGAAAUGCUUAGAGAUUACAUGGAAUACCAAUUGCGAAGGCAGGUUACUACCAAUUGAUUGACGCUGAUGGACGAAAGCGUGGGUAGCGAACAGGAUUAGAUACCCGUGUAGUCCCUGUCUCUUAUAC